GUCGUCUUCUGUGAGCACACCCAACUAUUCGGAGAGUGACAGAGGACAAAAUUGUUGCAUGACUAGGGUCGCCCAUGUGCGGGCACCUUAGAAUGUUUAAACAAUGAAUUUAUCAUUCUAGUUGGUCCAAUGUACUCUGUUCUCUACAAUAGAGAAAGAACAAUUAAGAAACAUGAUUAUAAAAAGAAUCUGAUGACACCCAGGUGGUGUAAAGAUGAGAAGAAAGGAAUGUUGGAGGGGAAAACGGUCAAAAAUGAGAAGAACUGGAGAACCAGUUGGCUUUCACUACUACUAUUAGACAGACGUUCCUAUUUGAGUCUUGUUCUGAGACUGUAGAGUGAAAAAAUUUCAGAAGUUGGAAAGUUAAGCACAGUGGUCAACCAAUUUUGCCAACUCAUUCCAAACACAGUGGUAAUCUUCGUCUAUUCUGUAAUAAUGUAACCAUCUUACUUGCACAAAUUUUGGAAGAAACAACUAGUCGACUGCCACUUUACUGCUACUAUCAAGUGUGUCAUUGAUGCAUUUUGCCAAAUAGAGACUAAAGACUGUAAGUUUGGACUAAAGAUUGUAAUGUGUUAUAUAUAAUAUCAUUCGACCACCCAAUAGGAUAACCAUCCUCACUAAUUCUUCUCUUCCAUAGUUAUCUAGGUAUUUAUCCUUGACUCUUGUAAACUCUCUCUCUCUCAAUAAAGAUCUAUGAUUUCUGUAAA
RNAcentral lists this long non-coding RNA (710 nucleotides) under Androctonus crassicauda. Lineage: Eukaryota; Metazoa; Arthropoda; Arachnida; Scorpiones; Buthidae. The record is from RNAcentral.